GUGGCGCCCUUUGCAUGCGGGACAAAAUCUGUGAAAGUCGACUGGACGAGCAGACGACAACCCGGAUCUGACAAAAGGCCUAGCUUCUUGUGUCGAUGAUGGGGAGCGUGCGUUGGGCAUUCCGUUUUGGUUCUUGGAAACCCACACAGGCUGAAUGGACUCUGGCAUCUAGGUGUAUACAGCAGGAGGAAAAAGACAAGAUCGGCAAAUUUGUCUUCAAGAAAGAUGGCAAGGCCUCAAUGGUUGGAAGGCUCCUCAUCCGAAAAGUUGUUGCAGAAACCUUGACAUUCCCCUGGAAAGAGAUCAGCCUUGCAAGAACAGAGAAGGGCAAGCCCUACCUCACCAAUGAGAACAUCGCAGAUCCUGAUUUCUUCCCUAAUUUUAAUUUCAAUGCAUCACAUGCUGGGGACUACACUGUGUUGGCUGCUGAGCCUGAGUGGCUGUGUGGGGUGGAUGUCAUGAAGGUUGAGGCACGAGGAACGCCCACGAUUCCUGAAUUUUUCCGUUUGAUGAAAAGGCAGUUAACGUAUCAUGAAUGGGAGGUCAUACAAGCAGAAGACACAGAAUGGAAACAGCUGGAGAUGUUCUACAGAUUCUGGUGUUUGAAGGAAAGCUACAUCAAGGCGAUUGGUAUUGGUUUGGGCCUUGACCUGCAGACAAUAGAAUUUCAUCCAAAGACAAGGGCAGUACAACAGGGAAUGGUCACCACAGACACAAAGUUCUAUCUGAAUGGAACACUGGAUACCACAUGGGACUUCCAUGAAUCAAAGUUGGAUGACCUUCAUUUUGUGUGUGUUGCCCUCAAGCGACCAAAUGGGAUCUGCCGUUUGAUUUUGCCCUGCCACUCAUGAAGUGAACUUAAAGAGAGAAGCAAGACUCGCCGCCGCUUCAACGCUCCCAUCUGGCUCUCUGUAAGAUCCAUGGAUUGUGACAGAGAAGAACAUGAAGCCGAAUUUCACCAUGCUAUGAUACAGAACCUCGUUGAAAGGAACUUGCCGAAGUAGAACUCAACUGCCAGUGUGACCUAGAAAAGAUGUAAUGGAGGACAUUGCCCGCAGCUUUGAAACACAUCAUCAGUGCAUACUUUAGCAUGCAGCUUCUGGGCCCAACAUGAUGAUAUGGAAAGUCGACUCCGGGGAAGUCUUUGAAUUAUCCUCAGAUUUGAAGCUGUUCUACCAGCCGAUACCGACAGGCAGAGUAAGGCCUGAGUACUGUUCUCCUCUAUAGUAUGCCUACACAGCCGAGUAAAUAUGCACAUCCAUCGAUAACACACAGGCUGCAGGCUUGACCUUGAACUAAUGCUGGAGGCUGAACUAGGUCGUGACCUAGGCGGAGUCGGUAGCAGAGGUGUAGAACUCCACCACUAACUUGUUGCCUUCAACCGCAGUGAUUUUACUAGCAACAGCAGGGUGCCCCACCCAGCGAUCUUCCCCAACCAAGAUGGCUUCCUUGACCUCCUCAUGGCAGUCUGGGGUCACAUAGU
This 1483-nucleotide unclassified non-coding RNA is filed under the name Acanthaster planci (crown-of-thorns starfish). RNAcentral describes it as "l-aminoadipate-semialdehyde dehydrogenase- phosphopantetheinyl transferase-like, transcript variant X1". Lineage: Eukaryota; Metazoa; Echinodermata; Asteroidea; Valvatida; Acanthasteridae. The record is from RNAcentral.